AUGUUGGCGGUUCGGUGCGCCGCAAGGAGGCUCGGUGGCUCCCAGCUGCAGCGAACGCAGGCGGCGGCCGCGCAGGAGGGACGCCGGCUUGUGCCAAGCGGCUUCAUGCGCUCCCGCCAGCUCGCCACCAAGCCUGCUUGCGAGACCUGGAUGCAAAAGAAGAUGCAGAAGCUGAGAUCUAUGUGGGCCCAGUACAAGGCGGACAUAGAGAGAAGGAUGAGGGAACCUCCAGAAAAGGAUGAGUUUAAGUUGCUUGUCGAGUCCUACGCACGUACGAUUGAUGGUGUGAUCCAUGGAACUGCCAAGAUGGCACUUCUCAUCCUUGUUCCAGUUGGAAUUUAUGCUAGCUACACCAAGGAGGGGGUAGAAGCACAGGCUGUUACCAAGGGAGACCAGUGA
Molecule: ribosomal RNA, 399 nt
Filed under: Triticum aestivum (bread wheat)
Lineage: Eukaryota; Viridiplantae; Streptophyta; Magnoliopsida; Poales; Poaceae
Description: partial small subunit ribosomal RNA
Source: RNAcentral